This 270-nucleotide ribosomal RNA is filed under the name Diodon hystrix (spot-fin porcupinefish). RNAcentral describes it as "partial 12S ribosomal RNA". It matches the Rfam family "Bacterial small subunit ribosomal RNA", at positions 516 to 907 of the family's 1533-position model. Lineage: Eukaryota; Metazoa; Chordata; Actinopteri; Tetraodontiformes; Diodontidae. The record is from RNAcentral.
CGCGGUUAUACGAGAGACCCAAGUUGUUAGGCAUCGGCGUAAAGGGUGGUUAAGGCAAUACCCAAACUAAAGCCGAACAUCUUCCAAGCCGUCAUACGCACACGAAGACAAGAAGCCCGAUAACGAAAGUGGCUCUAACCUGCCUGAACCCACGAAAGCUAUGACACAAACUGGGAUUAGAUACCCCACUAUGCCUAGCCCUAAACAUCGACAGUAAAUUCACCAACUAGUCCGCCCGGGAACUACGAGCACCAGCUUAAAACCCAACGG